This 793-nucleotide ribosomal RNA is filed under the name uncultured archaeon. RNAcentral's name for it is "bacterial SSU rRNA". It matches the Rfam family "Archaeal small subunit ribosomal RNA", at positions 85 to 879 of the family's 1478-position model. The record is from RNAcentral.
ACUGUUCAGUUACACGUGGAUAACCUGCCCUCAGGUCUGGCAUAACCCCGGGAAACUGGGGAUAAUUCCGGAUAACGCAUAUAUGCUGGAAUGCUUUAUGCGUGAAAGGUCCUCCGCCUGAGGAUGGGUCUGCGGCCUAUCAGGUAGUAGCGGGUGUAAUGUACCUGCUAGCCGACGACGGGUACGGGUUGUGAGAGCAAGAGCCCGGAGAUGGAUUCUGAGACAUGAAUCCAGGCCCUACGGGGCGCAGCAGGCGCGAAAACUUUACAAUGCGGGAAACCGUGAUAAGGGGACACCGAGUGCCAGCAACAUUUGCUGGCUGUCCAGGUGUGUAAACUACACCUGUUAGCAAGGGCCGGGCAAGACCGGUGCCAGCCGCCGCGGUAACACCGGCGGCCCGAGUGGUGAUCGUUAUUAUUGGGUCUAAAGGGUCCGUAGCCGGUUUAGUCAGUCCUCCGGGAAAUCUGUCAGCUCAACUGAUAGGCUAUCGGGGGAUACUGCUAGACUUGGAACCGGGAGAGGUAAGAGGUACUACAGGGGUAGGAGUGAAAUCUUAUAAUCCCUGUGGGACCACCUGUGGCAAAGGCGUCUUACCAGAACGGGUUCGACGGUGAGGGACGAAAGCUGGGGGCACGAACCGGAUUAGAUACCCGGGUAGUCCCAGCCGUAAACGAUGCUCGCUAGGUGUCAUGCAUGGUGCGACCGUGUAUGGUGCCGUAGGGAAGCCGUGAAGCGAGCCACCUGGGAAGUACGGCCGCAAGGCUGAAACUUAAAGGAAUUGGCGGGGGAGCAC